RNAcentral lists this unclassified non-coding RNA (426 nucleotides) under Hevea brasiliensis (rubber tree). Lineage: Eukaryota; Viridiplantae; Streptophyta; Magnoliopsida; Malpighiales; Euphorbiaceae. The record is from RNAcentral.
GAAAAUUCAGCCUCAUCAGCAUCAAAGAUUGAUGCAGAAGUUGUGACAAUGGAAGAUUAUAAUCAGCUUGUUCAUGAGCUAGAACAACUACGAAAAGAUAGAGCAACUGAAAUUGCCAGAACUUACUUACUUGAGAUGGACUAAUGCUUGCUUAAGGCAUGAAUUGAUGAGAAUUCAUGAACAAGAGCAAGAAAUUGAGCAGAAGAAAGAACAUUUGGAUGCAGGUGGAGAGAUUAGAGAUUGUGGAUUGGUACAGCAACAAGACAGAUCAGUUUUGAACAUUAAUGAACCUUGCAUAGGUGUGGCAAGCAGUAGCCCUGAUCAGGGUGGUUCAAAAAGGAAAAAGUUGCUUCACAAGCUUAAGAAAUGGGUAGAAAGGAGUGACCACAUGAAAUCAAAGCUGGAAGAGAAAGAAAAGCAAGAAAU